UACGGAGGAGGCAAGCGUUAUCCGGAAUUAUUGGGCGUAAAGCGUCCGCAGGUGACAAAUCAAGUCUGCCGUCAAAGACCGGGGCUUAACCCUGGAAAGGCGGUGGAAACUGAAUUGCUAGAGUGUCGUAGGGGUAGAGGGAAUUCCCGGUGUAGCGGUGAAAUGCGUAGAGCUCGGGAAGAACAUCGGUGGCGAAAGCGCUCUACUGGACGACAACUGACACUCAGGGACGAAAGCUAGGGGAGCGAAUGGG
This 253-nucleotide ribosomal RNA is filed under the name uncultured bacterium. RNAcentral describes it as "partial 16S ribosomal RNA". It matches the Rfam family "Bacterial small subunit ribosomal RNA", at positions 524 to 776 of the family's 1533-position model. The record is from RNAcentral.